UGGGGAAUUUUUGGACAAUGGGCGAAAGCCUGAUCCAGCAAUGCCGCGUGUGUGAAGAAGGCCUUCGGGUUGUAAAGCACUUUUUGUCCGGAAAGAAAUCCUUGGCUCUAAUACAGUCGGGGGAUGACGGUACCGGAAGAAUAAGCACCGGCUAACUACGUGCCAGCAGCCGCGGUAAUACGUAGGGUGCAAGCGUUAAUCGGAAUUACUGGGCGUAAAGCGCGCGCAGGCGGUUUGCUAAGACCGAUGUGAAAUCCCCGGGCUCAACCUGGGGAACUGCAUUGGUGACUGGCAGGCUAGAGUAUGGCAGAGGGGGGUAGAAUUCCACGUGUAGCAGUGAAAUGCGUAGAGAUGUGGAGGAAUACCGAUGGCGAAGGCAGCCCCCUGGGCCAAUACUGACGCUCAUGCACGAAAGCGUGGGGAGCAAACAGGAUUAGAUACCCUGGUAGUCCACGCCCUAAACGAUGUCAACU
Molecule: ribosomal RNA, 473 nt
Filed under: uncultured bacterium
Lineage: Bacteria
Description: partial 16S ribosomal RNA
Rfam family: Bacterial small subunit ribosomal RNA
Source: RNAcentral